This 216-nucleotide ribosomal RNA is filed under the name uncultured bacterium. RNAcentral describes it as "partial 16S ribosomal RNA". It matches the Rfam family "Bacterial small subunit ribosomal RNA", at positions 1285 to 1500 of the family's 1533-position model. The record is from RNAcentral.
AUCUCAGUUCGGAUUGCAGGCUGCAACUCGCCUGCAUGAAGCUGGAAUUGCUAGUAAUCGCGGAUCAGCAAGCCGCGGUGAAUACGUUCCCGGGCCUUGUACACGCCGCCCGUCACACCAUGAGAGUCGGGAACACCCGAAGUCCGUAGUCUAACCGCAAGGGGGGCGCGGCCGAAGGUGGGUCCGGUAAUUGGGGUGAAGUCGUAACAAGGUAAC